Molecule: unclassified non-coding RNA, 233 nt
Filed under: plant metagenome
Description: partial contains small subunit ribosomal RNA, internal transcribed spacer 1, and 5.8S ribosomal RNA
Source: RNAcentral
UCUCCGUUGGUGAACCAGCGGAGGGAUCAUUACCGAAUUUUUCUACUCCCAAACCCCUGUGAACUUAUACCUUUACUGUUGCUUCGGCGGGUUAACGCCCCGGAAGGCCCAAAAAGCCGCCGGAACCAGGCGCCCGCCGGGGGACCCAAACUCUUGUAUUUCUUACUUUGCAUGUCUGAGUGGAAUCAUAAACAAAUGAAUCAAAACUUUCAACAACGGAUCUCUUGGUUCUG